GAUGAAGAACGCAGCGAAAUGCGAUAAGUAAUGUGAAUUGCAGAAUUCAGUGAAUCAUCGAAUCUUUGAACGCACAUUGCGCCCGCCAGUAUUCUGGCGGGCAUGCCUGUUCGAGCGUCAUUUCAACCAUCAAGCCCUGCUUGCGUUGGGGUCCUGCGGCUGCCCGCAGGCCCUGAAAACCAGUGGCGGGCUCGCUAGUCACACCGAGCGCAGUAAUACAUCUCGCUUUGGGCGUGCGGCGGGUUCUUGCCGUUAAACACCCCCUUUUUACCAAGGUUGACCUCGGAUCAGGUAGGAAUACCCGCUGAACUUAAGCUUAUCAAUAAGCGGAGGA
RNAcentral lists this unclassified non-coding RNA (334 nucleotides) under soil metagenome. RNAcentral's name for it is "partial contains 5.8S ribosomal RNA, internal transcribed spacer 2, and large subunit ribosomal RNA". The stretch from base 1 to 120 matches the Rfam family "5.8S ribosomal RNA", at positions 35 to 154 of the family's 154-position model. The record is from RNAcentral.